CAUCUUCUUAUUUUUAUAUGAUACCUUGUAGUCAUUCCGUACAACAACAAGUAGACCUAUGCUUAUGCAUGUUAUAAUAUCUGAUAAAAUGACAAAACCAAGAAAACUUAUCAUUGACCAAAGAACCAUAAAAUGCGGUCAUGGUUAUAUGAAUCUGCCAGACAGACAUGCACACCUUACAAUUGUUACAUAUCCACCAAAUAUAAUCUACCUGUAACUUUAAACAUAUGAUAAACUGACAAAACUAUGCAGUGUUUCAUUGACCAAUGAACCAUGAAAAUGAGGUCAAGGUCAUAUAAAAUAUGGCAGACAGACAUGUGCAUCUUACAAUCAUUCCAUUCACUAAAUAAAGGGGCCUUAUUGCUUACAGUAUCCGGAAAAUAGACCAAACCACAAAAAAUAAACAUUUUCAAAGUUCCUUAUACCCUGCCAAUU
This 435-nucleotide long non-coding RNA is filed under the name Mytilus galloprovincialis (Mediterranean mussel). Lineage: Eukaryota; Metazoa; Mollusca; Bivalvia; Mytilida; Mytilidae. The record is from RNAcentral.